RNAcentral lists this small RNA (537 nucleotides) under Mycoplasmoides pneumoniae M129. Its description in RNAcentral is "Mycoplasma pneumoniae M129 ncRNA". The record is from RNAcentral. Lineage: Bacteria; Bacillati; Mycoplasmatota; Mycoplasmoidales; Mycoplasmoidaceae.
GUUAGUUUAAUCUUAUUUAUUUUUAGGGGUAUAGUAACUAAAACCAAGCGCUUGCAACACGGCUGCUAACACAAAGUUGAACGGCUUAUUGUAGUGGGGAAGAAAGUAAACGUCUACUAAACCCAGUUCACUGAUCAACAUUUUCUUCUGUACUGCUAAAGCAAUAUAGAAGAUAAUUUCACUGUGGUUGGUGUUUCACGAAAGUAAUUGGGCACCCAACAAACGGAGCGUCUUCUUGUCGUAAAUUAACUUAAAGCGCACCUUGUCAAAGGUCCCCAUAAAUUCGGGACGGUCGUUGUCAUCAACAAUGCUCACUCCCACAUCAAAACCGUUCAUUUUGGCACGUUUUUCGGUUAAACCAGUAGCUGCUAGAUUUAAACCAAAUACGUGCAGCGCAUUGGUACCAACAAUGGACUCUAACUUUACAGCCUUGCUACCAAUCAUGUGCAUAGCAGCGACUAAACCACUUUUCACAGCGUUGGUAGCUAAGUCAAUGUUUUCGUAUUGUUCACUAGCUGCAUCAUAAAUGGCAGCAGC